GACGAACGCUGGCGGCGUGCUUAACACAUGCAAGUCGAACGGAAAGGCCCCUUUGGGGGUACUCGAGUGGCGAACGGGUGAGUAACACGUGAGUAACCUGCCCUUGACUUCGGGAUAACUUCAGGAAACUGGGGCUAAUACCGGAUAGGAAUCCUUGCUGCAUGGUGAGGGUUGGAAAGCUUCGGCGGUUUUGGAUGGACUCGCGGCUUAUCAGCUUGUUGGUGGGGUAGUGGCUUACCAAGGCUUUGACGGGUAGCCGGCCUGAGAGGGCGACCGGCCACAUUGGGACUGAGAUACGGCCCAGACUCCUACGGGAGGCAGCAGUGGGGAAUAUUGCACAAUGGGCGGAAGCCUGAUGCAGCAACGCCGCGUGCGGGAUGACGGCCUUCGGGUUGUAAACCGCUUUCAGCAGGGGCGAAGCUUGUGGUGACGGUACCUGCAGAAGAAGCACCGGCUAACUACGUG
RNAcentral lists this ribosomal RNA (465 nucleotides) under uncultured bacterium. RNAcentral describes it as "partial 16S ribosomal RNA". It matches the Rfam family "Bacterial small subunit ribosomal RNA", at positions 28 to 507 of the family's 1533-position model. The record is from RNAcentral.